RNAcentral lists this non-coding RNA (27 nucleotides) under Homo sapiens (human). Lineage: Eukaryota; Metazoa; Chordata; Mammalia; Primates; Hominidae. The record is from RNAcentral.
UAAAAGGUGGAAGUUUUGUUUGACUGU